AUUAGAUUUAAAUUAGUUAAAGAUUACAGCGCCCCAACGGCAAAAUACGUAAUAUACUUCCUACGAUUCUCGAACGUAAUCGAUAUUUCUUAUGAUCGAUUUUUAAACGGGAAGCAUGGCAGCAGGAAGCACACCUCAUCUGUAAAGAAGGAAAUAUAU
Molecule: long non-coding RNA, 159 nt
Organism: Frieseomelitta varia
Lineage: Eukaryota; Metazoa; Arthropoda; Insecta; Hymenoptera; Apidae
Exons: 3
Source: RefSeq, a predicted model, not a curated record